RNAcentral lists this ribosomal RNA (465 nucleotides) under uncultured bacterium. Its description in RNAcentral is "partial 16S ribosomal RNA". It matches the Rfam family "Bacterial small subunit ribosomal RNA", at positions 338 to 795 of the family's 1533-position model. The record is from RNAcentral.
CCUACGGGAGGCAGCAGUAGGGAAUCUUCCACAAUGGACGAAAGUCUGAUGGAGCAACGCCGCGUGAGUGAAGAAGGGUUUCGGCUCGUAAAGCUCUGUUGGUAGGGAAGAAAGAUAGAGGAAGUAACUGGCCUUUAUUUGAUGGUACUUACUUAGAAAGUCACGGCUAACGACGUGACAGCAGCCGCGGUAAAACGUAGGUGGCAAGCGUUGUCCGGAUUUAUUGGGCGUAAAGCGAGUGCAGGCGGUUCAAUAAGUCUGAUGUGAAAGCCUUCGGCUCAACCGGAGAAUUGCAUCAGAAACUGUUGAGCUUGAGUGCAGAAGAGGUGAGUGGAACUCCAGGUGUAGCGGUGGAAUGCGUAGAUAUAUGGAAGAACACCAGUGGCGAAGGCGGCUCUCUGGUCUACAACUGACGCUGAGGCUCGAAAGCGUGGGUAGCGAACAGGAUUAGAUACCCCAGUAGUC